UGGGGGGCCCCGUGCGAUGUUGCGGUGUGAACCCUGUCAGGUCCGAGAGGAAGCAGCAGUAAGCAUCUUAAGCGUGUGCUGCGGCAAAGCCUGCCAGUC
Molecule: signal recognition particle RNA, 99 nt
Filed under: Clostridia bacterium
Lineage: Bacteria; Bacillati; Bacillota; Clostridia
Description: signal recognition particle sRNA small type
Rfam family: Bacterial small signal recognition particle RNA
About the family: The signal recognition particle (SRP) is a universally conserved ribonucleoprotein involved in the co-translational targeting of proteins to membranes.
Source: RNAcentral